Non-coding RNA from Monodelphis domestica (gray short-tailed opossum), 1732 nucleotides. The record is from RefSeq and is a predicted model, not a curated record. Lineage: Eukaryota; Metazoa; Chordata; Mammalia; Didelphimorphia; Didelphidae.
ACUGCCCUCCUACGCCCUUACGCGAGGUGUGAGGUCAGACAAGUUUUAACUGCAGUAACGUUCAUUGAGCCACCGUUCCAUUGAUUCUGUGGUUUUCUCUUCCUUUUUCUUUUCUUUUUUUUUUUAAAGCAAGAAAGGCAUUGAGUGCCAACAAAAUGCCGAACACCAUAAAACAUAAGUAAAUACUUGGCACUUAAUAAAUGCUUGUUGAAUGACUGAAUUGGCUGUGACAUGAUCCCAACUGUUCCUCACCCUUAAACAAUGUGCUUUAGUAGUCUUUUCUAGGUCCUCUGCUGUUAACUUGUGGGACAGAUUGAAAGUUUAGUUAGGAGUCACUGCUUUCUUUGCCAACCCAUCUGAGUGUGUAUAUGUAUAUUUAUAAUAUGUGUGUGUGUGUGAUGGCCCAACCCCAAAAAUGUUGCUCUGCAGAAUCAAGAAAUAUGCUUCCUAAAAGUCAAAUACUAGGAUUUCUUGCUGCCUCACAGACAAUGAUCAUUGUUUUUACUCCAAGGAAUUUAAGAUUUCAAGAACAGUGAUAAUCUCCUCUUUGAAGAGCCACAUUAACAGAGUUGGUGGGUCAAUUCUCUAGCUGAAAGAAUCCACCCUUGCAGAGGAACAUGAAAUUAUCAGAUUUAGUUCAAAUAUAGAGGUAUGUUUUAAGAGGGAUUAUCUAAGGGAAUACAAAUGCCCCUAAAUAGUUUACCUACUAAAAUUCUCAAUUUCUGUUAGCUGCAUAAUUAUUUUCUUAAUUGGUCAGGCUUUUAAACCAGGGGGUCAUUUUUAACUUGUCUCUACUGACUAAAUCAAGAAGUCUUGUGAUUCCUGCCAGUGAUACCUUCAUCCUUUCCAUUCUUAUAAACUCCAUAUCCAGGUUAUUCCCUUGAGGUCAUUUUAUACACUGCCACCAAAUUUGGUGACUAGAAAGAGUACUUUAUUUGGAGUCUGACAGGAACUGACUUCCAUCCCAGCUCAGCUAUUUAUCACCUACCUGACCUUAGCAAGUAACUUCUCUGGACCUUAGUUUCCUUAUCUAUAAAAUCUUUUAAGGUCAUCUCUAGCUCUAAAUCUAUGAUCUGUUAUAUACAUCUAUGAACUAAAUUUGAAUUAGGUGACUGCUUAAGGUACCUUGUCUAAAUCGAUGAACUAUGAACCCAUGUAAAUUUAAGGAGAUUUCUUGAUCCAUGUGAUAAAUCUUCGGACUAUCCUAGGAAUGGUUGUAUCAGAAAUUAGUCCUUAAGUGACUCUCAAAACAUGCUAAUGAAGUUCAGAAGCCAAUUAAAUGUUGAACUGACAGGAUUAAAGAAACAAUUAGAAGUAUGUCACAAAGAAUAUGAGAAGAGGGCAAAACAAAAAGAGAUGGGGAAGAUGGGAAGAAGACAAAGAGCUCGAAAAGCCUAGACUCAGAAGCUAGAGAGAUCUGCAGCACAGAAGCCAAGGAGGAGAGAGAAGCAUGCAGGAGAAAGCUGGCAUCAGAGGGCUGUAGUAGGUAACCAGGAACAGACUUUGAAACAAAUGAUGGGAGAAGCAUUGGUGAGUAUUUUACACUCAGAGAGCUCAUCCUAAAAGAGUUUCUUAUGAAGAAACAAGCCCCAGCAUUGAAGUUAUAAAUCCUUUUCAGAAGCCCUCAGUUGAGAACUGCAUAAACUGGAAGGAGGAAGGGGAACAUAGUAAGUUAUAUAUGAGUUUUACUUGUUGUGCAUGUUUGUUGCAAUAAAGCUGCUUUUGAUACAUU